This 1508-nucleotide ribosomal RNA is filed under the name uncultured fungus. RNAcentral's name for it is "eukaryotic LSU rRNA". The stretch from base 876 to 1508 matches the Rfam family "Eukaryotic large subunit ribosomal RNA", at positions 1 to 649 of the family's 3401-position model. Lineage: Eukaryota; Fungi. The record is from RNAcentral.
AAGUCGUAACAAGGUUUCCGUAGGUGAACCUGCGGAAGGAUCAUUAGACAUAUCUGGGAUGCCACUCUGGAUCCCCAAAUUCAAACCCCUCUGUGUACCAUUCCAUGUUGCUUUCACAGGUCAUGGGCUAUUGCUGCUAGCUACUGGAGUUUGCCGCCAGUUUCGGCCACCUGGUCUUGGUUGCCUGGUCUUAGCUGCCUGGUCCUGGCCGCCUGGUUUUGGUUGCCUGGUUUUGGUUGUCGGUACCCGCCGUUGUUGACAGUCUUCGCUGAUACCUGGCUGCAGCUAGCCAGCUCAUGCUCGCUGUUACAUUCUGCUGGUACCUCCCCGCCAUUACUGCCCACCACUACUGUCCGCCAUUACUGUCCGCUAUUACUGCAUGCCAUUCCAGUCUGCCAUUACUGCCUGUGAACAGCUACAACAUUGUUGGAGCCAUCCAGGUACCUGUGAGAGGGCCCAACCUCAACCAUCUCUGUGAAUUAGCUGUCUGACCUGGCCAUGUGCCAGAUUGAUUAAGCAAGUUAAAACUUUCAACAACGGAUCUCUUGGCUCUCGCAUCGAUGAAGAACGCAGCGGAAUGCGAUAAGUAAUGUGAAUUGCAGAAUUCAGUGAAUCAUCGAAUCUUUGAACGCACAUAGCGCCCUUUGGUAUUCCUUAGGGCAUGCCUGUUCGAGUGUCACUACAAACCCUCUCACAGAUAUUNNGUAUUGGUAGGAGUGGGUUACAGGUAUAAUGGUACCUGCACACUCUGCCGAAAUCCAUUGGAAGGANANAGNCNGAGCAGCAGACUUUGUAAAUGUCUAUGGGACAUAAAUCAGUCUUGUGCCAUGCCCAGUCCUGCCUAACUGGACCCCUAUCCAAGAUGAACAAUGGGUUGACCUCGGAUCAGGUAGGGAUACCCGCUGAACUUAAGCAUAUCAAUAAGCGGAGGAAAAGAAACCAACAGGGAUUGCCUCAGUAACGGCGGGUGAAGCGGCAAAAGCUCAAAUUUGAAAUCUGGCACUAUUGGUGCCCGAGUUGUAAUUUGGAGAGGCAACUUCAGGUAGGGUCCAGCCUAUGUUCCUUGGAACAGGACAUCAUAGAGGGUGAGAAUCCCGUUCUUGGCUGGAUGCCCUUGCCAGUAUGUAGUGCCUUCUACGAGUCGAGUUGUUUGGGAAUGCAGCUCAAAAUGGGUGGUAAAUUUCAUCUAAAGCUAAAUAUUGGCGAGAGACCGAUAGCGCACAAGUAGAGUGAUCGAAAGAUGAAAAGCACUUUGAAAAUAGAGUCAAAAAGUACGUGAAAUUGUUGAAAGGGAAGCGCUUGAGACCAGACUCAGUCUUUGGCAAACAACUGUCCUUCUGGGUGGUGCACUUGCCUUCGACUGGGCCAGCAUCAGUUGGGAUGGUGAGACAAAGGCCAGGGGAAUGUGACUCCACUUUCGGAGUGUUAUAGACCCUGGUGUCAUGCCACCUGUCCUGACUGUGGACCGCGCUUCGGCUAGGAUGCUGGCGUAAUGGUCUCCAGCGACC